AUGAAAGAGCUCCUGGCAACUUGCAAAAUGAUUGGUGUGAUGCUUUGCUGGGUCGUCAUAGGUACAUCUGCAACAAAGGACAUUUCUACAGCCCAUAGUUGGGUCAGUGCUCCUGUUCACCAGGCAGCUCUGCUCCCCUUGUGCUUUCAUCCUCAAAGCACCUUAUUUAACUUUAUUAGCAUCAAAUGGGAAUUUAUCACCAUCAAUCGGCAUAUUCCCAUUCUUGUGUACAUGUUACACAAGUGCAAGCAAGAUGGAAUCUCCCGCCAUUGGUGGGAAAAGGAAUGUAAAGUUACCAAAGAGAUAGACGAAGCAUAUCAGCAACGGGCCGGUAUCCUCGAGAAUGGCACACUGAGAAUUUUCCCUGCAAGAAUAAAGGAUUCUGGACUAUAUCAAGCAACCGUUCUGAUCUUUGGUGGAAAACACACAGCAAUUGUCAAUCUUACAGUAACUGAAGUUCCUCUUUCCUUCCACCCCUCCCAAUCCAAUGUAGUGGAUAUGCAGGAAAAAGACAACACCAAGAACAAAGGUUUUGGAGCCUUGAGAAGAAUGGCUACUGAGAAUAUGAUUCGAAUGGGCUUGGCCUGCCUCACUCUCUUCUUUCUUGGACUGCUGCUGGUGGAGCAUGUUUGCAAUUUACCUGGUGGUAGCAGUAAUACAAGGAAAAAAGACUGUGGGAGACCCUGAGAGAUUUAUUGCUGUCUUGAGGUGAUAUGUCAGUUGAAGUCCAUCUCUUCCAUUGAUAGAAUGAGAAUAGUUGUGAGACACCAACUGAAAGUAAGGAAAACUCAUGAUGCAUUUGGAAAACUUAUCAUCAAAUCAUUUUGCAGGACUACUGUGUAAUUGACUACAGGUACACAAACAUAGGAUGUGAUCUAGGGAUUUCUUUGAAAUCUUAUGAAUGUGAAUACAGGCAGUCCCAAGUUAUGAAAAGAUAGAUUCUGAAGAUUUGUUCAUAAAUUGAAUUUGUAUGUAAGUUGGAACAGGUAGAUUUUUAAAUGUAACUCCAGCCAUAUAUACUUUGAAUAGCAUGGAGAAGGGUUAACAACCCUAUGACAUUUGUUUUGCUGUCUGUGUUCCAGUUCACAAUAUUUCACCUCACUUCCUGUCUGUGAUAAUUGGAUUCUGAACAUUUUGUCUUGUUGUAGAAACAAGCAAUGGUGAUAACGGUUCAGUGGAGACAGCUUUUCCCCACGAGAACUUCUUGAAUUGGGUUC
Molecule: long non-coding RNA, 1217 nt
Filed under: Anolis carolinensis (green anole)
Lineage: Eukaryota; Metazoa; Chordata; Lepidosauria; Squamata; Anolidae
Description: lncRNA (ENSACAG00000036946.1)
Source: RNAcentral